This 443-nucleotide ribosomal RNA is filed under the name uncultured bacterium. RNAcentral's name for it is "partial 16S ribosomal RNA". It matches the Rfam family "Bacterial small subunit ribosomal RNA", at positions 338 to 795 of the family's 1533-position model. The record is from RNAcentral.
CCUACGGGAGGCAGCAGUGGGGAAUAUUGGGCAAUGGGCGCAAGCCUGACCCAGCAACGCCGCGUGAAGGAAGAAGGCUUUCGGGUUGUAAACUUCUUUUGUCAGGGACGAAGCAAGUGACGGUAACUGACUAAUAAGCCACGGCUAACUACGCCCCAGCCGCCGCGGUAAUACGUAGGUGGCAAGUGUUAUCCGGAUUUACUGGGUGUAAAGGGCGUGUAGGCGGGACUGCAAGUCAGAUGUGAAAACCACGGGCUCAACCUGUGGCCUGCAUUUGAAACUGUAGUUCUGGAGUACGGGAGAGGCAGACGGAAUGCCUGGUGUAGCGGUGAAAUGCGUAGAUAUUAGGAGGAACACCCGUGGCGAAGGCGAUCUGCUGGACCACAACUGACGCUGAGGCGCGAAAGCGUGGGGAGCAAACAGGAUUAGAUACCCUAGUAGUC